RNAcentral lists this ribosomal RNA (256 nucleotides) under uncultured bacterium. Its description in RNAcentral is "partial 16S ribosomal RNA". It matches the Rfam family "Bacterial small subunit ribosomal RNA", at positions 524 to 776 of the family's 1533-position model. The record is from RNAcentral.
UACGUAGGGGGGCAAGCGUUGUCCGGAUUCAUUGGGCGUAAAGAGCGUGUAGGCGGCCAGGUAGGUCGGUUGUGAAAACUGGAGGCUCAACCUUCAGAGGUCGACCGAAACCAUCUGGCUAGAGUCCGGGAGAGGAGAGUGGAAUUCCUGGUGUAGCGGUGAAAUGCGCAGAUAUCAGGAAGAACACCCGUGGCGAAAGCGGCUCUCUGGAACGGUACUGACGCUGAGACGCGAAAAGCGUGGGGGAGCGAACAGG